This 580-nucleotide ribosomal RNA is filed under the name Burkholderia sp. AU44665. RNAcentral describes it as "bacterial SSU rRNA". It matches the Rfam family "Bacterial small subunit ribosomal RNA", at positions 1 to 574 of the family's 1533-position model. The record is from RNAcentral. Lineage: Bacteria; Pseudomonadati; Pseudomonadota; Betaproteobacteria; Burkholderiales; Burkholderiaceae.
GAACUGAAGAGUUUGAUCCUGGCUCAGAUUGAACGCUGGCGGCAUGCCUUACACAUGCAAGUCGAACGGCAGCACGGGUGCUUGCACCUGGUGGCGAGUGGCGAACGGGUGAGUAAUACAUCGGAACAUGUCCUGUAGUGGGGGAUAGCCCGGCGAAAGCCGGAUUAAUACCGCAUACGAUCCAUGGAUGAAAGCGGGGGACCUUCGGGCCUCGCGCUAUAGGGUUGGCCGAUGGCUGAUUAGCUAGUUGGUGGGGUAAAGGCCUACCAAGGCGACGAUCAGUAGCUGGUCUGAGAGGACGACCAGCCACACUGGGACUGAGACACGGCCCAGACUCCUACGGGAGGCAGCAGUGGGGAAUUUUGGACAAUGGGCGAAAGCCUGAUCCAGCAAUGCCGCGUGUGUGAAGAAGGCCUUCGGGUUGUAAAGCACUUUUGUCCGGAAAGAAAUCCUUGGCUCUAAUACAGUCGGGGGAUGACGGUACCGGAAGAAUAAGCACCGGCUAACUACGUGCCAGCAGCCGCGGUAAUACGUAGGGUGCAAGCGUUAAUCGGAAUUACUGGGCGUAAAGCGUGCGCAG